GACGAACGCUGGCGGCGUGCCUAAUACAUGCAAGUCGAGCGGAGAUUUAAAAGCUUGCUUUUAAAUCUUAGCGGCGGACGGGUGAGUAACACGUGGGCAACCUGCCCUGUAGACUGGGAUAACUUCGGGAAACCGAAGCUAAUACCGGAUAAUCUUUAGCGUCACAUGGCGCAAAAGUAAAAGUUGGGUUUUACCUAACACUACAGGAUGGGCCCGCGGCGCAUUAGCUAGUUGGUAAAGUAAUGGCUUACCAAGGCGACGAUGCGUAGCCGACCUGAGAGGGUGAUCGGCCACACUGGGACUGAGACACGGCCCAGACUCCUACGGGAGGCAGCAGUAGGGAAUCUUCCGCAAUGGACGAAAGUCUGACGGAGCAACGCCGCGUGAACGAUGAAGGCCUUCGGGUCGUAAAGUUCUGUUGUUAGGGAA
This 429-nucleotide ribosomal RNA is filed under the name Bacillus sp. oral taxon F16. RNAcentral's name for it is "bacterial SSU rRNA". It matches the Rfam family "Bacterial small subunit ribosomal RNA", at positions 28 to 446 of the family's 1533-position model. The record is from RNAcentral. Lineage: Bacteria; Bacillati; Bacillota; Bacilli; Caryophanales; Bacillaceae.